CCCUGGGUGGUUCAGUCGGUUGAGCAUCUGACUUCAGCUCAGGUCAUGAUCUCACAGUUUGUGGGUUCGAGCCCCACGUCGGGCU
Molecule: transfer RNA, 85 nt
Filed under: Felis catus (domestic cat)
Lineage: Eukaryota; Metazoa; Chordata; Mammalia; Carnivora; Felidae
Rfam family: tRNA
About the family: Transfer RNA (tRNA) molecules are approximately 80 nucleotides in length. Their secondary structure includes four short double-helical elements and three loops (D, anti-codon, and T loops).
Source: Rfam by way of RNAcentral